GUCGUCAAAACUUAGGUAACGCGUUAGCGAGGAAUUAUAUAAAAGCCCGGGCGAUUGGACGAUAGAUACAGAGUAGCUUCGACAGGCUUCAACAACAUUACACAUCAUGCUUCGCAAACUAAUCAUUUUGUCCGUCGUUCUAGCGAUGGUGUGCGCUCAGGAUUGCGGACCAAACAAAGAAUGGAACUCGUGUGGAUCGGCGUGUCCACCCACAUGCGGCCUACCUGAUAUGCGCCCCUGUACUAUGCAAUGCGUGAUUGGAUGCCGAUGUAAAGCAGGCUUAAAAAUAAAGGGUAACGAGU
Long non-coding RNA from Hylaeus volcanicus, 302 nucleotides. RefSeq lists it as uncharacterized. The transcript is spliced from 3 exons. NCBI's taxonomy places the organism in Eukaryota, Metazoa, Arthropoda, Insecta, Hymenoptera, Colletidae. The record is from RefSeq and is a predicted model, not a curated record.